CGAGAAAGCCCGCAAGGGUGAGUAAAGCGGCGCACGGGUGCGUAACACGUGGGUAAUCUGCCCUAGAGUCCGGAAUAACUCGCCGAAAGGCGUGCUAAUGCCGGAUGAGACCACGGGAGCCUCGGCUCCUGCGGGAAAAGGUGGCCUCUGUAUACAAGCUAUCGCUCUAGGAUGAGCCCGCGGCCCAUCAGCUCGUUGGCGGGGUAAUGGCCCACCAAGGCUACGACGGGUAGCUGGUCUGAGAGGACGAUCAGCCACACUGGAACUGAGACACGGUCCAGGCUCCUACGGGAGGCAGCAGUGGGGAAUCUUGCGCAAUGGGCGAAAGCCUGACGCAGCAACGCCGCGUGUGUGAUGAAGGUCUUCGGAUCGUAAAGCACUGUCGCGAGGGACG
RNAcentral lists this ribosomal RNA (394 nucleotides) under uncultured Anaeromyxobacter sp. Its description in RNAcentral is "bacterial SSU rRNA". It matches the Rfam family "Bacterial small subunit ribosomal RNA", at positions 67 to 447 of the family's 1533-position model. Lineage: Bacteria; Pseudomonadati; Myxococcota; Myxococcia; Myxococcales; Anaeromyxobacteraceae. The record is from RNAcentral.